GAUAGCUGGGGCGAGAGCGCAGUUUUUAUCAGGGUAAAGCUAAUGAUUAGAGGACUGGGGAGAUCAACUCUCUCCACCUAUUCUCAAACUUUAAAUUGGUAAGAGGAACCCGUUUUCUUAAUUGAACGGGUUCGAAGAAUGUGCGCCCCAAGUGGGCCAUUUUUGGUAAGCAGAACUGGCGAUGAGGGAUGCUCCUAAAGCUGAGUUAAGGUGCCCAAGUCACAAUCAUCAGAUACCAUGAAAGGCGUUGAUUCAUUAAGACAGCAGGACGGUGACCCUAAGAGCAGGUAUCCGCUAAGGAGUGCUUCCCGCUCACCUGCAUAAUGAGUCAGCCCUGAAAAUGGAUGGCGCUAUAUUGUGACACCGAUACUCGGCCAUCAUGUCUAGACGUGACUUGAUGAGUAAGAGGGCGUGGAUCUGGUGGAGAAGCGAAGGCGAGAGCCAACGUGGAACCGGAUCUAGUGCAGAUCUUGGUGGUAGUAGCAAUUAUU
This 491-nucleotide ribosomal RNA is filed under the name uncultured eukaryote. Its description in RNAcentral is "eukaryotic LSU rRNA". It matches the Rfam family "Eukaryotic large subunit ribosomal RNA", at positions 977 to 1471 of the family's 3401-position model. The record is from RNAcentral.